CAUAAAUAAUAUUUUGUUGAUAAAUAUAUGUACAUAAUGAAGUUGUAACUGCAUUUAAUUUAUUUGUACUUAAAAAAUGUAAAAUAAAAUCAUCAGUGUCAAACCGACGUUUAGUAAGGUGACACGUGUACCUUGCAUUCUGUUUGUAUUAUAGGGCGUAUCAAUCUAACACAGAAAUGGGUGCAAUAUAUUUGCAAAAAUAACAAAACAUUUAUACAAUAAGCAUAUUUUACGAUAAAUUUUUUUUAAAAUAAUGUUAUCUUGUAAGCAAUUAUCGAUCCGUUUUUCAUAGAAUGCGCAAGGCCACAUUGCUACACUUAUUACCUUAGGUCAACAUAUUCAGAAUAUUUGCUGCCUACACUAUCAUUGCAAACAUUUCAAAAUGCUGCUUUAUGCCUGUGGUUUAACGUUAGAAAAUUACCAUUCACAAUCAAUACCAUCUGUUCUAUAUUAAUAGUUAGGUAAUUCUCAUUAUCUUCAAUGUGUUAGAUAAUCCAUCCAAGAAAAA
Molecule: long non-coding RNA, 508 nt
Organism: Bombus impatiens (common eastern bumble bee)
Lineage: Eukaryota; Metazoa; Arthropoda; Insecta; Hymenoptera; Apidae
Exons: 2
Source: RefSeq, a predicted model, not a curated record